GUGGGUUGAACCUGGUUUUGUGGCAUGCCAAACCUCGCACUUUAAUGGCAAUGUUAAAUAUAACAUUAAAAUGACAACAUAAUAUUACAGGACUACAAUACAAAUAAAUAGGAGAACGUAUUAGGCAAAGAAACAAAUGAAUAAUAGAUGACUAAAGGCAUCAGGUUUAAAAUUCAAUACGCCAAAAACGCGCCUCGUCCACACAAGACUUACCAGUGACGCCCAGAUAUAAAAGUUCGAAAGUC
This 245-nucleotide long non-coding RNA is filed under the name Mytilus galloprovincialis (Mediterranean mussel). The record is from RNAcentral. Lineage: Eukaryota; Metazoa; Mollusca; Bivalvia; Mytilida; Mytilidae.